RNAcentral lists this transfer RNA (72 nucleotides) under Sciurotamias davidianus (Pere David's rock squirrel). RNAcentral describes it as "tRNA-Gln". It matches the Rfam family "tRNA". From Rfam's summary of the family: Transfer RNA (tRNA) molecules are approximately 80 nucleotides in length. Their secondary structure includes four short double-helical elements and three loops (D, anti-codon, and T loops). Lineage: Eukaryota; Metazoa; Chordata; Mammalia; Rodentia; Sciuridae. The record is from RNAcentral.
UAGAGCAUGGUGUAGGAGGUAGCACAAAGAAUUUUGAGUUCUUGGGGUCAGGUUCGAGUCCUGUGGCUCUAG